GUAGGUGGCAAGCGUUGUCCGGAAUUAUUGGGCGUAAAGCGCGCGCAGGUGGUUCUUUAAGUCUGAUGUGAAAGCCCCCGGCUCAACCGGGGAGGGUCAUUGGAAACUGGGGAACUUGAGUGCAGGAGAGGAAAGUGGAAUUCCACGUGUAGCGGUGAAAUGCGUAGAUAUGUGGAGGAACACCAGUGGCGAAGGCGACUUUCUGGCCUGUAACUGACACUGAGGCGCGAAAGCGUGGGGAGCAAACAGGGAUUAGAUACCCUGGUAGUCCACGCCGUAAACGAUGAGUGCUAAGUGUUGGGGGGGUUUCCGCCCCCUCAGUGCUGCAGCUAACGCAUUAAGCACUCCGCCUGGAGUACGGUCGCAAGACUG
Molecule: ribosomal RNA, 372 nt
Filed under: uncultured organism
Description: partial 16S ribosomal RNA
Rfam family: Bacterial small subunit ribosomal RNA
Source: RNAcentral